GAUGAACGCUGGCGGCGUGCCUAAUACAUGCAAGUCGAGCGAACGGACGAGAAGCUUGCUUCUCUGAUGUUAGCGGCGGACGGGUGAGUAACACGUGGAUAACCUACCUAUAAGACUGGGAUAACUUCGGGAAACCGGAGCUAAUACCGGAUAAUAUUUUGAACCGCAUGGUUCAAAAGUGAAAGACGGUCUUGCUGUUACUUAUAGAUGGAUCCGCGCUGCAUUAGCUAGUUGGUAAGGUAACGGCUUACCAAGGCAACGAUGCGUAGCCGACCUGACAGGGUGAUCAGCCACACUGGAACUGAGACACGGACCAGACUCCUACGGGAGGCAGCAGUAGGGAAUCUUCCGCAAUGGGCGAAAGCCUGACGGAGCAACGCCGCGUGAGUGAUGAAGGUCUUCGGAUCGUAAAACUCUGUUAUUAGGGAAGAACAGAUGUGUAAGUAGCUGUGCACAUCUUGACGGUACCUAAUCAGAAAGCCACGGCUAACUACGUG
This 497-nucleotide ribosomal RNA is filed under the name uncultured bacterium. RNAcentral describes it as "partial 16S ribosomal RNA". It matches the Rfam family "Bacterial small subunit ribosomal RNA", at positions 28 to 507 of the family's 1533-position model. The record is from RNAcentral.